Molecule: long non-coding RNA, 1687 nt
Filed under: Oreochromis niloticus (Nile tilapia)
Lineage: Eukaryota; Metazoa; Chordata; Actinopteri; Cichliformes; Cichlidae
Description: lncRNA (ENSONIG00000032521.1)
Source: RNAcentral
UGUUCUCUGCAACAGAAUUUCAAAUGGGAGGAACAGAAUUAUGUUGUUCAAAAUGAAAUCAACAACUUGUCUUUCUUGGCCAAUAAUGACAAAACAUUCAAGCUUGACAAUGAGAAGAGGAAGAUGAGGAGGAAGAGGGGUUGUUAUUCCACCAACACCUCUCUCAUUGUAGCUUUAAUGAAGAGGCUGACCCCUGUGGGACUCAGGGUUUGUUUUCCGAGCGAUCACAGUCUCAUCAUCUUGGCUAAGAAUGCCUUCUCUCAGGUAAGUUGGAAAUGUGGACCAUACUAAAAUCCUCCACCUUUCACAUCCUUCACUACGUGCUUGUGCACAUUUGACACUACAGGACUGUUUAGUAUACUUAAUGUGGGCAAUUACAUGCUUUCCACAGAAGACCACUGAGAAUGAGAUCCGAGAUCAUAUUUUCAAUUGCGUUGUACAUCUUCAGAAUCAGGGAUCAGACAGUUUAAGACAGAAGAUUCUUACAGAGCUCCCAAACCAACCCGGGUACAUCAGUGAUGCAGAAAAGACUGUUGACAGGAUUAUGGAAAUAGCUCGAGUCCUUUAUUAUCUUGACCAGGUGAGCUUUUCCAUGCUAUAGAAAAAGUUGCUGAUUAAGACACUGAGUAAAGACUCCGUCCUUUGCUUUAAUUGGGAUACUGCCUUUUGGCACUGAGUGAAUCCUGGCUCUGCAGCCAUUGUAUUCUGCCUACUGCUUAAAAUUUGUUGAGUAAGGUGAAGAGUGUUUUGUUCUGACUUUUGUUAAUAUACCCUGCAAGCAUUAUUAAGACCUCAACAUCAUCUCACUGGUUAAAACUAGGGAUGGGUAUCGUUUAGGUUUUAUCCGAUACCAGUACCAAACCGGUACUUUUGAAACGGUGCCGGUGCUUAAACGGUGCUUGAACCGGUGCUUAAAGAAUGGAGAACACACAAUUGGUCCAAAAACCUCUCAUGUUCAGCUGUUUUCCACUUUUUCUUUGGUCAUUUUAGCCUUUUUGGCCAGGGUGAAGGGAGUAUCUGCCAUCAAACAAGAAGACAGCCGCAUGUAACUACGACGGUGUUUGCUAGUUCACCUUACAUGCAUUAAUUUAAUAACGUGGUAGGCCUACUCAACGUAAUUACACACGAACAACAUUAAGCCACUCACUCAGAGAAGAACGGCUGCUGCUGCCAUCAUCAUCCGUCCUCAUUUCUGCUACACUGGCAGGGCUAGGGGCCAGGACUCUCCUCUUCGGGUUUUUGGGGGAUGUUGCUAACUCCGGGUCCGAUAACAGGCAACCCCACCGCAGUAGAUGUGCACGGUGUGAGGUCUCGCAGCAAGCUAUCAAAUACGGCGCAUUUCUCGGCUUUUAACAAAAUGCUAUACGUCGCCAGGCGUUUCAUCAGAUUUGAGGUGGUACCUCCUUUGACAGUAUCACAGUAUCACCUUAAAGCACUUGUUGCAGGCUGCUGAGUUUGCAUCUUUUGCUGUGAAGUACAGCCAGACUUUGACCGCUUUGCCUUGGGCAUUUUUAAUCUGUAGCUCUGCUCUAAAAGAACGUACGUACCUGGGCCCGCCUACUACGCUUGCAAAGGUAAAAUGAUUGGCUAGAAUCCAAAGUGUAUGACAUCUCAGGAAAAAAAAGCACUGAAAUAAAGCACCGAAAUGUGCGCUGCUUUUUGGUCUGGUUACUACCAUUUAUGUCAG